CCACUGCAAGAGAGGAUUAUAGCGUGGUGAAAUCCGGCGUCCGGGCUGCUAGCCCCGCCCGUCUCCGACGCGCUUAGUGAACUGGAGCUGUCGCGGGUAGCGCCAUCAGUCUCCGGCGCGCUUCGCCGCCGGGAGCCGUGGGGUGGGUUUGGAAGGCGGUGAGACGGGAGUCGUCGCCACUAGCUAGCGCCGCGCGCCUUCGGCACGCUGAGCUGCUGGGGCCGUGGUCUUAGCUGGAGGAAAGAUGGAAUCCAUCGUGGCUAGCUCUGCUCGCCUCAGGGGCGCUGCGGCACGCCCGACCGUGUCCUUGGCCGGCGGCAAGAUGGGAGCCAUCACGGCUAGUGGUGCCCGUCUCCGGCGCACCCAAGGCCAUGCCAAGGUUCUGUCCAGCCCGCUCCGUGGGAGAUGGUGCCAUGGUGGAACUGCUGCACCGUCAGCCGGUGGCCGAGAUGUCGCGCAGUCGCACUAGAAGGUGCGAGCUUGAUGCAGACUCAACAGGAAAAGGAGCAAGAACAUACCUACAGACGACGAAGUGCCAGGAGCUCCGUCCAUGCUGAAGAACACCGUAGAUGUUGAUCCACGGAGAGGACAAUUUUCUGUCAAUCUUGAUCUAUUCUCCUCCCAUCCGGGGUGGGUAACAAUGGAAAUAGAUUGGUAGGACAAAGGAUGAAGCCACGAAAGAGAUUUUGGUGGCAAUCUGUUGUUACGCGGGAGAGAAAGAUGUGGUUUCGCUGAUUUUCUAGAACCUAACUGCAAUCAGAGAGAUAUGCUGGGUUGUUUAA
This is a long non-coding RNA of Triticum aestivum (bread wheat), 782 nucleotides long. RefSeq lists it as uncharacterized. Lineage: Eukaryota; Viridiplantae; Streptophyta; Magnoliopsida; Poales; Poaceae. The transcript has 2 exons. The record is from RefSeq and is a predicted model, not a curated record.